Molecule: long non-coding RNA, 377 nt
Organism: Medicago truncatula (barrel medic)
Lineage: Eukaryota; Viridiplantae; Streptophyta; Magnoliopsida; Fabales; Fabaceae
Exons: 2
Source: RefSeq, a predicted model, not a curated record
AUGCAUAGGGGGGAGUAUGGAAGAUAUUGUCAAGUUUGUUUAUGUUAUAAUUAUCUUUCUUUCCAUAUUUAUUAUUGCAACAAACAUGGAAGCAAAAACUAUAUGUAUUGGAGAUUCUGAUUGUCGAAAUGAAAGGUGCAUGCCUGGUAUUAAACCGGUAUGCUCAGAAGGCUGGUGUGAUUGUAUAGGAUUUAUACCAUAGAUUCUACAAGUGUUCACGAGUACACAAAUGUCCGACUUAUAUUAAGAGGUACCAUUUAGUUAUCAUGUUGCAAUCCAAUAACUUUCUUUUUCUAAUUUGACAAAGAUUGUAGUUAUGGAUUUGUUCUCUAUUAUGAUGGUAAUGAAAUAAGGCAGCUUGAUUGUAUUCUUGUCUA